CUAAGACACUGCAUCUCCAGUGCUAGAGGUGUCACUACAGACCCUGGUUCAGUGGUCCAAGGCACUGCAUCUCCAGUGCUAGAGGUGUCACUACAGACCCUGGUUCAGUGGUCCAAGGCACUGCAUCUCCAGUGCUAGAGGUGUCACUACAGACCCUGGUUCAGUGGUCUAAGACACUGCAUCUCAGUGCUAGAGGUGUCACUACAGA
Molecule: long non-coding RNA, 208 nt
Organism: Oncorhynchus keta (chum salmon)
Lineage: Eukaryota; Metazoa; Chordata; Actinopteri; Salmoniformes; Salmonidae
Exons: 3
Source: RefSeq, a predicted model, not a curated record